AGUGAACGCUGGCGGUAGGCCUAACACAUGCAAGUCGAACGGAAGCACAGUAAGAGCUUGCUCUUAAGGGUGGCGAGUGGCGGACGGGUAAGGCAUACAUCGGCUUCUACUUUUUCGUGGGGGAUAACGUAGGGCCACUUACGCUACUACCGCAUACGACCUACGGGUGAAUGCAGAGGAUCUUCGGACCUUGCGCGAUUGAAUGAGCCGAUGUCGGAUUAGCUAGUUGGCUGGGUAAAGGCACACCAAGGCGACGAUCCGUAGCUGGUCUGAGAGGAUGAUCAGCCACACUGGAACUGAGACACGGUCCAGACUCCUACGGGAGGCAGCAGUGGGGAAUAUUGGACAAUGGGCGCAGGCCUGAUCCAGCCAUGCCGCGUGAGUGAAGAAGGCCUUCGGGUUGUAAAGCCCUUUUAUUGGGAAAGAAAAGCAGCAUGUUAAUACCUCGCUGUUCUGACGGUACCCAAAGAGUAAGCACCGGCUAACUUCGUG
RNAcentral lists this ribosomal RNA (492 nucleotides) under uncultured bacterium. RNAcentral describes it as "partial 16S ribosomal RNA". It matches the Rfam family "Bacterial small subunit ribosomal RNA", at positions 29 to 507 of the family's 1533-position model. The record is from RNAcentral.